Panthera pardus (leopard) is the source of this 153-nucleotide small nucleolar RNA. The record is from Ensembl. Lineage: Eukaryota; Metazoa; Chordata; Mammalia; Carnivora; Felidae.
UCUCCUGUUCUUGGUGGGGGUCAAGUGGGUGGUCCCCACCCCUGAAAUGUAUUGAGGCAGAGGAAAAGGGCUCCAACCUUCUCUGUACUAUGUGUUUCAGUCCACCAGUUCAAGUGCCACAACAUGGGUUCCAAAAACAAAUACAAAACAAAA